Molecule: long non-coding RNA, 3646 nt
Organism: Heterocephalus glaber (naked mole-rat)
Lineage: Eukaryota; Metazoa; Chordata; Mammalia; Rodentia; Bathyergidae
Source: Ensembl
UCCUUCCAGGUUUGAGAGGGGCGGGGAGUUGGAGCGAUGAGGUAAUUGGAGCUGUGACCGGUCGGUGCUUGCGCGCCUCCCCUGCUCCCGGCUCUCUGCACCUAGUUGGAGCGACCGAAUGACAGCGGGGUGCAACUCAGGCAAUCUGGGGGGCUCCCCCGCCCCAGAGGUGUCAGGCUUCAGCUCCGAGCCGGUGAAAUACUCAAGGAGGCGGGGAAGCUGGCUAAUUCUAAUCCCAACUGGCCCUGGGUCCCGGCGCUCGGAGAAGCGUCGGAAGGAGCUCGCUCCGAUCCCCGGCUGCACUUUCGCCCUCCAAACCGAGUCGCUUCGGCGAUCGGGAACCCAGACCCGGGGCCGCGGGGGCUGCCUCGGCGUGCAACUCGCCAAAGUUUUAAGGGUCCCCGUGAUGGCCCACGCGUCCUCACCUUUCCUGCUCGGGAGAGCCAGCGACCACCGGCCCUCCCUCCUGUCUGUUUCUGCACGUCCGGAAAUCUGCUGUGGGCUUUGAACUAUUCCGCUGUGGCCGUGGUAGACGACCCGCGGGCUCCUCUCGCGGCUAAUUCGGGAUCAUUAAUUUAAUCGGAAGUGAGGUAACCGUGUAGGAGAUAGAGAAAGUAAACGGAGCGUUAAAUAGCAGUUCUUGUGAAUCCACGCCGAAGAACUUCCUCUGGGUUUAAUUGCUAAGUGCGGUUCUCAGCUCCUUCGCCUCGCCCGCGUCCCCUCCGCCCGUCCGCCGCCGGGUGACUCCGCAUGGAGGGAUCCUCUCUGCACCUUGCCAACAGGUGUGGCACCUGGAGGGAGAGCGGGCGCAUCCCUACGAGGGCCGCUCAGAGGGCCGCUCACCGAGGCGCUGUCCUUGCGGCAGAUAAUUCUGCAAGACCAGUAGGUGUUGGGGCAGCGUUUGACUUGCUUCAGGUGCUUGGAACUGGGUCUAGAAAUCUGAUCCCUCCGUUUCUCCCUGGAAGACACCAGUGUUGACUGUAAGCUGUGUGUGUGUGAGAGAGACCUUUUCGCUGAGUUUACUUAUGACCUAACGGUUAGUCACCAAUUGAAGCAGGAUACAGAAUCACCGAGAAAAACGUGUCAGCUUUUAAACAACUCUAGAUUGUAGAGCCACCGCGCUUCAAAAAUAAAAAUAAGCACACUCGCGAAGAAGUGAUCCUUAGGUUUCAACCUGAGGUUGUGCGACAGUGACAUUGCUGGUCUCCGUACAGCCUCUAGUGGACAGUUAACAUCAGUUUCCUGCAAAGGCUGCUGGUGAUGUUUAUGUCCACAGACAUUAUCAAGGUGAAGGGUGAGAUUCAGAACGCAACCAGGUACGAUCUUUUACCCCACUUGGCAAAGCUGACUUCUAAGAAGAGCUGAGGUUUGUUGGCUCUUGAGGGAAACAACGACGUAUGCUUUGUGCUGCAGGUAUUAUUACUGCUGGCCUGUGAAUAAACACAGAGCUUCUGCUCUUCAUUUCGGUUUCAGACAGCUUUCAUAGAAAACUAAAUUCAUCUAAAAUAUUUUUAUAACAGAAAAUAUUGGUUGCCAUGUUUUUGGCUUAACUGAGAUGUUUUUAUUCCAACUCAUAAUCUGCAAACUGUCCAAUCCACCUCCACUCUAUUUUUAGACAUUUUACAUUUAGAAAAUUUUCAGGAAAAAAGCUAAUAUUGCAAUUAUUACAUGGGCACAAGAUGUUAAUUUAUAUUAUUUUAACAACCUGAGACAUAUUAAAACACAUAAUUCAGAUCAGAGUCAAUUAAUUUAAAUGGUCCCUGAAGGAAGCUAAAUAUGUAUAGUACCCAGACAGUAAAAACAGUUCAUAAGAAAUGUGCCGCUUACUUUCAUAGCCAUGGAGAUUAAACACUGACACUAAACUCUAUUUAACUAUUUCUGCCUACAAAGUUCAACAUAAGUACAAUGCUUAUGAAAGUUUCAUAACCUGUAGGACUGAAAUGUUUUGUUUUCAGAUGACAGAAUACUAAAUGUGCAGUCACAGAUCACAGGCACAUGUCUGUAAUCCCAGCCCCUUAGGAGCCUGAGGUAAGAAGAUAGAAAGUUCAAGGCCAGCCUGGACAACUUAACCAGACUCUAUCUCAGUCUUUUAAUAAAAUAAAAGGCCUGGGGAUGUAGCUCAGUGGUAGAGCACUUGCCUAGCAUGUAUGAGGUCCUGGUUCAGUCCCCAGAAUGAAUGGGGAUGGUUUCUCAUGCAAACAAAAACUUGAAGAAAAAUGAGUAGAUCUUUCAAGAAGCCAGUAAGUAAAUACAAAGUAAAAUACAAAUACAAAUUAUGAUACUCUAGCUGGGCAUGGUGGCACAUGCCUGUAGUCCCAGCACUUGGAGGCUGAGGCAGGAGGAUCGCCACAAGUUGGAGGCCAGCCUGGACUACAUAGUGAGACCCUGUUUAAAAAAAAAAUUGUGAUACUCCUACUCAUAAGUCUGAUCUUAUAUUCAUUCAUGUCACUCUUUAAAAUGAAAGGAAAUUGAGAAAUAACUGGGCCUUACUCCUAAUCUAUGUUGUAGAUUGCUUAACAUGGAAAUAAUUAUAGAAAUAAUUUUUAUCUCAUAUCUAUUUUGCUGUUUUGGUCAUACAUAUUUUUGAAGGUUUGACAUAAGGCCAGCAAGUAUGUAUUAAAUCAUAUGAUUUUAUAUCACACCCCAGCUUCUUUAAGUGUAGUCCCUAAAAUAGACAAAGCGGCACCACCAGAUGGGAGUUUUUUAGACUUUCAGAAUCCAGGUUUCCACCCUAGAUUUAUGGACUCAGAAUCUCCCUUUGAACCAGCCUUUUGGGUGAUCCUAAACACAUUAGGGUGUAAAGAAUGCUGGUCUAAAAACUUAAUUCGCCUAUUUAUUUCUUUUUUUAUUAAUUCUUCUUAAGUUUUCCAAUGAAUAGUUAUCACAUUAUAGUUGGAUGCCUGCAUCUUGGACUCAACCAACUGCAGAUCAAAAAUAUUUGAAACAUUUGUACUAAGCAUGCACAGAAUUUUUUUUCUUGUCAUUAUUCCUUGAACAAUACAGUAUGGCAACUAUUUACAUACUAUUUUAAGUCAUCUAGAGAUGCUUUAAACUAUACAGGAGGCUACGCAUAGGUUAUAUACAAAUACUAUGUCAUUUUAUGUAAGGUUCUUGAGCAUCCCAGGAUUUGGGGAUUCAAAAGAAAUCCUGGAACCAGUCGUCUUAUCCAGGAAAUGAGUAUGUGCUUUGGAGAAAUAGUACUGCGUUUCAGGAGAGGCCUGAUUCAUACACGGAUCGGAAUCAUGUUUACCAAAAAGAAACCACAAGGAUCAUGCUGGGGUUUUGAAGGUGAAUGUUUUCUUCAGGGCAGCAGGGGGAGCACAAGAGUCCUUAAUAAACCCAGUGUACAGGGCCUCCACAUCGCGACAGAUUUGACACUGUACUGUGUGUUUUCAUUGAAAGUAGACUGUUACAAAGCUUAACCGAAGCGAAGCAAAAUAAAACCAACGAGCAAACACAAACAGUCUACCAGGUUAUAACAUUAGGUAUUUGAACAGAUUAUGGCUUAAAUAAGAUACAAUAUACUUCUUUUGAGUUUUAGGCUUGAAUUCUUAAGCGAAAGUGAACCUCCAAAGCCAUGUUUUGUAAAAGAUCCCUUACUCCGGUUUUCUCUAGUCAAGAAUAAAGACAACACUAUACAGAAUAA